UACGGAGGGUGCAAGCGUUAUCCGGAUUUACUGGGUUUAAAGGGUGCGUAGGUGGUCAGGUAAGUCAGUGGUGAAAUCUCCGGGCUUAACUCGGAAACUGCCAUUGAUACUAUUUGUCUUGAAUAUCCUGGAGGUAAGCGGAAUAUGUCAUGUAGCGGUGAAAUGCUUAGAUAUGACAUAGAACACCCAUUGCGAAGGCAGCUUACUACGGGAUCAUUGACACUGAGGCACGAAAGCGUGGGGAGCAAACAGG
This 253-nucleotide ribosomal RNA is filed under the name uncultured bacterium. RNAcentral's name for it is "partial 16S ribosomal RNA". It matches the Rfam family "Bacterial small subunit ribosomal RNA", at positions 524 to 776 of the family's 1533-position model. The record is from RNAcentral.